GAAUUCGCCCUUCGGUAAUUCCAGCUCCAAUAGCGUAUACUAAAGUUGUUGCAGUUAAAAAGCUCGUAGUUGGAUUUCUGCGUUGGUGGGGCGCCCGUGGGCCUCUGGCUCAUUGGGCAGCAACUCCGUCGCAUCCUGCCGCGAACCACGCUACCAUUCGUUUGGUGGCGUUUGGGGAUCGGCUCGUUUACUUUGAGAAAAUAGAGUGUUCAAAGCAGGCCUGAUGCCUUGAAUAAUGUAGCAUGGAAUAAUGAUAAAGGACUUUGGUUCUAUUUUGUUGGUGUUCGGGACCGAAGUAAUGAUUGAUAGGGACAGUUGGGGGCGUCUGUAUUCUGAAGCGAGAGGUGAAAUUCUUAGACCUUCGGAAGACAAACAGCUGCGAAAGCGUUCGCCAAGGAUGUUCCCUUUGAUCAAGAACGAAAGUUGGGGGAUCGAAGACGAUCAGAUACCGUCGUAGUCUCAACUAUAAACUAUACCAGCUAGGGAUCGGCCAACGUUGAUAUCAAAAGACUUGGUCGGCACCUUAUGAGAAAUCAAAGCAUCUGGGUUCCGGGGGGAGUAUGGUCGCAAGGCUGAAACUUAAAGGAAUUGACGGAAGGGCACCACCAGGCGUGGAGCCUGUGGCUUAAUUUGACUCAACACGGGGAAACUUACCAGGUCCAGACAUGAGAAGGAUUGACAGAUUGACAGCUCUUUCUUGAUUUUAUGGGUGGUGGUGCAUGGCCGUUCUUAGUUGGUGGAGUGAUUUGUCUGGUUAAUUCCGUUAACGAACGAGACCCCAGCCUGCUAAAUAGCGCGCGUGGCCUCUGGCCGCGGCAAGCUUCUUAGAGGGACUAUCGCUCGUUAUAGGCGAGGGAAGUUUGGGGCAAUAACAGGUCUGUGAUGCCCUUAGAUGUUCUGGGCCGCACACGGGCUACACUGACGCGUGCAACGAGCAUACCAGCUGGCCCGACAGGGCGUAGGCUAAUCUUUUGAACUCGCGUCGUGCUAGGGAUUGACCAUUGCAAUUGUUGGUCAUGCAACGAGGAAUGCCUUGUAAACGCGGGUCAUCAACCCGCAUUGAAUACGUCCCUGCCCUUUGUACACACCGCCCGUCGCUCCUACCGAUGAAUGUUCCGAUGAAAUUUUCGGAGGGCGCCUGUGAAGCGGUGCAAACCGCGGAACGGGAGGCCCGAAGUUGCUUAAAUCUGAACAUUUCGAGGAAGGAGAAGUCGUAACAAGGUAAGGGCGAAUUC
This 1235-nucleotide ribosomal RNA is filed under the name uncultured eukaryote. RNAcentral's name for it is "SSU rRNA". It matches the Rfam family "Eukaryotic small subunit ribosomal RNA", at positions 570 to 1831 of the family's 1831-position model. The record is from RNAcentral.